CAGCCGUAAACUAUGCGCGUUAGGUGUACUGGUGACCACGAGUCACCGGGGUGCCGAAGGGAAACCGUGAAACGUGCCGCCUGGGAAGUACGGUCGCAAGGCUGAAACUUAAAGGAAUUGGCGGGGGAGCACCACAACGGGUGGAACCUGCGGUUUAAUUGGACUCAACGCCGGAAAUCUCACCGGAUAGGACAGACAUAUGAUAGUCGGGCUGAAGACUCUACUUGAUGAUCUGAGAGGUGGUGCAUGGCGUCAGUGACU
Molecule: ribosomal RNA, 261 nt
Filed under: uncultured archaeon
Lineage: Archaea
Description: partial 16S ribosomal RNA
Rfam family: Archaeal small subunit ribosomal RNA
Source: RNAcentral